AAAUAAGAAGCAAUUUGCAUUUAAUUUCGACUUAAAAGAUAGGGUUUAUACCCCUUAUUUA
Molecule: transfer RNA, 61 nt
Filed under: Alucita montana
Lineage: Eukaryota; Metazoa; Arthropoda; Insecta; Lepidoptera; Alucitidae
Description: tRNA-Arg
Source: RNAcentral